AUUGAACGCUGGCGGCAUGCCUUACACAUGCAAGUCGAACGGCAGCACGGGUGCUUGCACCUGGUGGCGAGUGGCGAACGGGUGAGUAAUACAUCGGAACAUGUCCUGUAGUGGGGGAUAGCCCGGCGAAAGUCGGAUUAAUACCGCAUACGAUCUACGGAUGAAAGCGGGGGACCUUCGGGCCUCGCGCUAUAGGGUUGGCCGAUGGCUGAUUAGCUAGUUGGUGGGGUAAAGGCCUACCAAGGCGACGAUCAGUAGCUGGUCUGAGAGGACGACCAGCCACACUGGGACUGAGACACGGCCCAGACUCCUACGGGAGGCAGCAGUGGGGAAUUUUGGACAAUGGGCGAAAGCCUGAUCCAGCAAUGCCGCGUGUGUGAAGAAGGCCUUCGGGUUGUAAAGCACUUUUGUCCGGAAAGAAAUCCUUGGCCCUAAUACGGUCGGGGGAUGACGGUACCGGAAGAAUAAGCACCGGCUAACUACGUG
RNAcentral lists this ribosomal RNA (486 nucleotides) under uncultured bacterium. RNAcentral describes it as "partial 16S ribosomal RNA". It matches the Rfam family "Bacterial small subunit ribosomal RNA", at positions 30 to 507 of the family's 1533-position model. The record is from RNAcentral.